CCCAUGGAGCACUAAUGACCUUUGGGUCUGUAGCUUCACUGUCCCCAGACCCGGUGCUUUUCCAUCUGGUUCCUGGUAUUCCCUUAAAUCCCUGCUGGCUGUUUAAUAGCAGUCAGGGAGUUUCAAUGAAGCUAAGGUCACUUUGGCUCACUAAAUGUCACUGCUUCUAAACUGGAACCAGACUGAGUUGAGGGUUGUGUUUCUGCUGGGGGGAGCAAUGGCGAAGUGUCCUCUUGACUCUUCACCAGAUGUUGAUCCUGAGCCCACUGCCUGAGCUCCAGGUUUACUUUGUGUGAGGCUGUGAUCUGACUCCUGAGAACUAAUGUCCCUGAAAGCAGCCAGGGCAAAACAGUAAUUUGAAGAAACCAGAACCAUGACUGAUCUUUUGGUUCAUUGGUGCCCUUCUCUGAUUUUUGGAAAAAAAAGGGCUGGAUGAGAAGAUCUGGUCAAAACAUGAGGAUUAUGACUAAGGACAGACAAUUCAGCAUGAUUGUACCAUAUUUUCAUUUCCCCUGUACAAAGGACAGAGAACUUUGUUCUGUGAUCUGUCUCUGCGCAAAAUACUUGUAGCAUAUAGUAAAUUUGUUGAUUGGCAUACUUGCUCAUAUAUUUUGGUUUUUAUUUGUUUAAUUGGAAAGUCCCUUUACAGCAUUUUGGCAGAGUA
Molecule: non-coding RNA, 664 nt
Organism: Taeniopygia guttata (zebra finch)
Lineage: Eukaryota; Metazoa; Chordata; Aves; Passeriformes; Estrildidae
Source: RefSeq, a predicted model, not a curated record